GACGAACGCUGGCGGCGUGCUUAACACAUGCAAGUCGAGCGGUAAGGCCCUUUCGGGGGUACACGAGCGGCGAACGGGUGAGUAACACGUGGGUGACCUGCCCUCAGCUCUGGGAUAAGCCUGGGAAACCGGGUCUAAUACCGGAUAUGACUCCAUGACGCAUGUUGUGGGGUGGAAAGCCUUGUGCGGCUGAGGAUGGGCCCGCGGCCUAUCAGCUUGUUGGUGGGGUGAUGGCCUACCAAGGCGACGACGGGUAGCCGGCCUGAGAGGGCGACCGGCCACACUGGGACUGAGACACGGCCCAGACUCCUACGGGAGGCAGCAGGUGGGGAAUCUUGCGCAAUGGGCGAAAGCCUGACGCAGCGACGCCGCGUGAGGGAUGAC
Molecule: ribosomal RNA, 384 nt
Filed under: uncultured bacterium
Lineage: Bacteria
Description: bacterial SSU rRNA
Rfam family: Bacterial small subunit ribosomal RNA
Source: RNAcentral